AGGAAAUUCAAAAAGGAAAGUCCCUAAUCAAAAGCUAAAACACGUUAAAUGAAUGGAUUACAACUUUAAUUACACUGACUUGGUGAAGCAAAGAACUAUUUUUUAAAGUGAUUAAAAUAAAUUACGAAUAGUGGAUUAACAGUUGUGGUUUACCAAAAUUUAGAAUGACAAUUCGAAUGUGAAUGAAAUCAAGUUCAGACUUUAUAUACGUUACAAGAAGGACUUUCAACCUGAACACUAUGUUAUUAACAGUAUGCCACACCACUUAUGUAGUUAUUUAUGUAAACUAAGAUGUUGAACUUUACCUUUAUUUGUCGAGAUGGGUCGUUAUAUGAAACCACC
This 342-nucleotide long non-coding RNA is filed under the name Mytilus galloprovincialis (Mediterranean mussel). Lineage: Eukaryota; Metazoa; Mollusca; Bivalvia; Mytilida; Mytilidae. The record is from RNAcentral.